RNAcentral lists this ribosomal RNA (468 nucleotides) under uncultured bacterium. Its description in RNAcentral is "partial 16S ribosomal RNA". It matches the Rfam family "Bacterial small subunit ribosomal RNA", at positions 28 to 507 of the family's 1533-position model. The record is from RNAcentral.
GACGAACGCUGGCGGUGUGCUUAACACAUGCAAGUCGAACGGAAAGGCACUGCUUUUGUGCGGUGACCGAGUGCCGAUCGCGUGAGUAACACGUGUGUAUCCUGCCCUUGUCUUUCGGGUAACUUCAGGAAACUGGGGCUACUAUAGGAUCGCAGCUCCCGCAGCAUGGUGGGGGUUGGAAAGUCUCGGCGGUUGGGGUUGGACGAGCGGCUUACCAGCUUGCUGGUUGGGUAGUGGCUUACCAAGGCAUUGACGGGUAGCCGGCCUGAGAGGGUGACCGGCGACAUGGGGACUGAGGUACGGCCCAGUCGCCUAUGGUAGGCAGCGGUGGCGAAUAUGGCACAGUGGUCGGAAGCCUGAUGCAGAGGCGCCGCGUGCGUGAUGACGGCCUUCUGGUUGUGAACCGCUGUCGCCUGAGACGAAGCGUUAGUGACGGUAAUGAAUAAAGAAGCACCGGCUAACUACGUG